AUGCUUAUUGAUUCGGAUGUAUGGACUAGCCCCAUGGUGUCAAUGAAUGGGAAGAAGUAUUUUGCUACCUUUAUUAACUGCUAUUCUCGUAUGACUUGGAUUUACUUGAUGCGUCACAAGGAUGAGGUGUUUAGCUGUUUUCAGAACUUUCAUGCUCUUGUAAAGAACCAGUUUCAGGUGCAGGUCAAGGUGCUCCGGACUGAAAAUGGCAGAGAGUAUGUGAACAACAGUUUGGGGGCUUUCAUGGCUGACCAAGGGAUUCUACAUCAAACUUCAUGUCCGGACACCCCCCCCUCAGAAUGGAGUGGCCGAAAGGAAGAAUCGUCAUAUUCUUGA
RNAcentral lists this ribosomal RNA (336 nucleotides) under Triticum aestivum (bread wheat). RNAcentral's name for it is "partial small subunit ribosomal RNA". The record is from RNAcentral. Lineage: Eukaryota; Viridiplantae; Streptophyta; Magnoliopsida; Poales; Poaceae.